CAGUCGCCGCGGGAAUACGUAGGGUGCGAGCGUUAAUCGGAAUUACUGGGUGUAAAGCGUGCGCAGGCGGUUUUGUAAGACAGGCGUGAAAUCCCCGGGCUCAACCUGGGAAUGGCGCUUGUGACUGCAAAGCUAGAGUGCGGCAGAGGGGGAUGGAAUUCCGCGUGUAGCAGUGAAAUGCGUAGAUAUGCGGAGGAACACCGAUGGCAAAGGCAAUCCCCUGGGCCUGCACUGACGCUCAUGCACGAAAGCGUGGGGAGCAAACAGGAUUAGAUACCCGAGUAGUCCCUGUCUCUUAUAC
This 301-nucleotide ribosomal RNA is filed under the name uncultured bacterium. RNAcentral's name for it is "partial 16S ribosomal RNA". It matches the Rfam family "Bacterial small subunit ribosomal RNA", at positions 509 to 807 of the family's 1533-position model. The record is from RNAcentral.